AUACGGAGGGUGCAAGCGUUGCUCGGAAUCACUGGGCGUAAAGCGCGCGCAGGCGGCUAUUUAAGUUGGAUGUGAAAGCCUACGGCUCAACCGUAGAACUGCAUCCAAAACUAUUUAGCUAGAGUGUGGGAGAGGAAGAUGGAAUUAGUUGUGUAGGGGUAAAAUCCGUAGAGAUAACUAGGAAUACCAAAAGCGAAGGCAAUCUUCUGGAACACUACUGACGCUGAGGCGCGAAAGCGUGGGGAGCAAACGGGAUUAGAAACCCUAGUAGUCC
Molecule: ribosomal RNA, 274 nt
Filed under: uncultured bacterium
Lineage: Bacteria
Description: partial 16S ribosomal RNA
Rfam family: Bacterial small subunit ribosomal RNA
Source: RNAcentral